This 73-nucleotide transfer RNA is filed under the name Camelus bactrianus (Bactrian camel). It matches the Rfam family "tRNA". From Rfam's summary of the family: Transfer RNA (tRNA) molecules are approximately 80 nucleotides in length. RNAcentral also lists the same sequence under 2 other names. The record is from Rfam by way of RNAcentral. Lineage: Eukaryota; Metazoa; Chordata; Mammalia; Artiodactyla; Camelidae.
GAGGGUACAGCUCAGUGGUAGAGUACAUUGCCUAGCAUGCAUGAGGUCCUGGGUUCAAUUCCUAGUACCACCA